AGUAAACAAACAGAACCUUUAAGAUGAUACUUUCAUUCAAAAGUUUCCAAUGGACUGCAGAAAGGAAUGACAAGAGCAAGCUGAUCCUCAUGAGCUGAGAAUGGUGUUUUCUGUCAAGGGGAGAAACACUUGGUAAAACCUUAAAAAGUGUGUGCGCCUUGACAGACCAAGGAAAGAAGAGGAUUGAAUGAAAUGUUUGAGCUGUUCAAGUUGUUCUGUUAAAAUGUAUUGUCUGCUCACUUGCUUCUGUGAAGGAAGAAAGUGAAGUCAAAGUAAAAGUGGUGCUUUGGAGCAAGCAUUAAGUCCUCCUGUGGCUGUGUUAAAAACGGAGAAAACAACAACAACAGUUGUUAGUAUUUCCUGUAUGAAGACCACUAAUAACUGCCAUCUUAGAAUACAUGGAAAGAAUCAAAGUGAGCUGUUCAAGGACUUCUGACAAGAGUGGAAAGUCAGCUUCCAGAAUGUCUGUCUAAUAGAAGAGAAGAAAUUUUUGGCUUCAUGAUGGUCCUGUCCCAAAAGGGUGCUAAUAUUGCAUCUGGAAACCUGCAUAUACCUUUAUACACAUUCACUU
Cygnus atratus (black swan) is the source of this 571-nucleotide long non-coding RNA. RefSeq lists it as uncharacterized. The transcript has 3 exons. The record is from RefSeq and is a predicted model, not a curated record. Lineage: Eukaryota; Metazoa; Chordata; Aves; Anseriformes; Anatidae.